CAAUAGCGUAUGUUAAAGUUGUUGCGGUAAAAAGCUCGUAGUUGGAUUUCUGUCGAGGACGGCCGGUCCAUACAAUGUAUGUGCAUCUGGUUCGGCUUCGGCAUCCUCUCGAAAGACGUUUCUGUGCUUGAUUGCAUGGAGCGGAUCUCGGGACUUUUACUUUGAGGAAAUUAGAGUGUUCACGGCAGGCUCGCGCCAGAAUACAUUAGCAUGGAAUAAUACUAUAGGAUUUCGGUUCUAUUUUGUUGGUUUCUAGAAUUGAAAUAAUGAUUAAUAGGGACAAUUGGGGGCAUUCGUAUCAAGGCGUCAGAGGUGGAAUUCUUGGAUUGCCUUGCGACGAACUACUGCGAAAGCAUUUGCCAAGGAUGUUUUCAUUGAUCAAGAACGAAAGUAAGGGGAUCGAAGACGAUUAGAUACCAU
This 420-nucleotide ribosomal RNA is filed under the name uncultured eukaryote. RNAcentral's name for it is "SSU rRNA". It matches the Rfam family "Eukaryotic small subunit ribosomal RNA", at positions 592 to 1018 of the family's 1831-position model. The record is from RNAcentral.